This 468-nucleotide ribosomal RNA is filed under the name uncultured bacterium. RNAcentral's name for it is "partial 16S ribosomal RNA". It matches the Rfam family "Bacterial small subunit ribosomal RNA", at positions 28 to 507 of the family's 1533-position model. The record is from RNAcentral.
GACGAACGCUGGCGGCGUGCUUAACACAUGCAAGUCGAACGGAAAGGCCCUGCUUUUGUGGGGUGCUCGAGUGGCGAACGGGUGAGCAACACGUGAGUAACCUGCCCUUGACUUUGGGAUAACUUCAGGAAACUGGGGCUAAUACCGGAUAGGAGCUCCUGCUGCAUGGUGGGGGUUGGAAAGUUUCGGCGGUUGGGGAUGGACCCGCGGCUUAUCAGCUUGUUGGUGGGGUAGUGGCUUACCAAGGCUUUGACGGGUAGCCGGCCUGAGAGGGUGACCGGCCACAUUGGGACUGAGAUACGGCCCAGACUCCUACGGGAGGCAGCAGUGGGGAAUAUUGCACAAUGGGCGGAAGCCUGAUGCAGCAACGCCGCGUGCGGGAUGACGGCCUUCGGGUUGUAAACCGCUUUCGCCUGUGACGAAGCGUGAGUGACGGUAAUGGGUAAAGAAGCACCAGCUAACUACGUG